This 154-nucleotide unclassified non-coding RNA is filed under the name Flavobacterium sp. ov086. RNAcentral describes it as "Flavo-1 RNA". The record is from RNAcentral. Lineage: Bacteria; Pseudomonadati; Bacteroidota; Flavobacteriia; Flavobacteriales; Flavobacteriaceae.
UUUUAGCCCAGAUUGCAGAGGAAAGCCCGGAGCAAAAAAAAAUGCAUUUCUUGCUGAAAAAAAGCGACUGAAAGAAGCUCUUUUUGCAACAUUAGAAAUGCAUUUUUUUUGUGUCCCGAUAGCUAUCGGGAUGUAACGGAAAGCUGGAUUAGCU